GACGAACGCUGGCGGCGUGCCUAACACAUGCAAGUUGAGCGACGAACCAGGGCUUGCCCUGGGGCAAAGCAGCGAACGGGUGAGUAACACGUGGGUAACCUACCCCGAUAACCGGGACAACCCGAGGAAACUCGGGCUAAUACCGGAUGUGCUCACUGGACUUCGGUUCAGUGCGUAAAGGAAGCUUCGGCCUCCGUAUCGGGAGGGGCCCGCGGCCCAUUAGUUUGUUGGUGAGGUAACGGCUCACCAAGACCGCGAUGGGUAGCUGGUCUGAGAGGACGAUCAGCCACACUGGGACUGAGACACGGCCCAGACUCCUACGGGAGGCAGCAGUGGGGAAUCUUGCGCAAUGCGCGAAAGCGUGACGCAGCAACGCCGCGUGGGGAAGAAGGCCUUCGGGUUGUAAACCCCUUUCAGGAGGGACGAAGGUUCGGCGGUGAAUAGCCGUCCGGACUGACGGUACCUCCACAAGAAGCCCCGGCUAACUACGUG
Molecule: ribosomal RNA, 492 nt
Filed under: uncultured bacterium
Lineage: Bacteria
Description: partial 16S ribosomal RNA
Rfam family: Bacterial small subunit ribosomal RNA
Source: RNAcentral